AAUAGGCCAGGGCAGUGGAUGUAGAACCUUGGUUAGAUCUGUCUGGUUAGGGAGAAGAUGUGAACUGAGCCUUUCAAGGAGAUUCAUGAAGCUCUCAUUGGGCUAGACCUGGAGAAGAAAGUGGGAAAUCUGGUGCCUCACUGCGCACAAACAUGGUGGAGUGCCUACUGUUCUCCAUGCCAUAGGGUCUUUAUGAAGCAGAAACCAUGAAGUGUGAGAACACACUGGGAAUUGGAACUUGCUGAAGGUUGUCUAUGGCACCAGGGAGAGUCUGGACAUGGUAUCAAAGGUUCUGGUCAAUGUCUUUGACAAGAUGCUGGAAAUGGUGCCACCACUGUCAUAGGCUUGCUUUGGUAUGUAGGUGGCCUUGGGGAGAACUUGGCUCCCAUCUGGAUGGGACACAACUCAUCAUGCACCUUCUGAUUUAUGUGCCCUAUGGCACAAAAGUUUUCACUUUAACUCUAAAAUCCUACUUGAAAGAAAUGCUGUUCGACUAGCUUUGUUUACCAUAACUGGAUUGAAAAAUGCAGGAGACUCAGCCAAACUGUUGGGGUUAUGAAAGACAUUCUAUAUUGUCUGACUAAGAUGGACCCUCAGUGCAGGAAUCCUGUGGAAAAACAUCUAUGGAAGACUACCCUGGAAAGUGUCCCGAAGGAGCAAGCAGCUCGGUUUUCUCUACAUGAUUCCAAGGCUUGAGCUUUCAAGAGUAUAUUGCUCACCGAGAAGAAUCUCAAAUAAAAUGGGAACAAUUAUCCAAACAAUGGAUGUGUAAGUCCCAACAAAGAAAGACAAGGAAUAUGAAACAGCAAGGGAACACGACUCCAUCGUUCUUCAGUUGCCCGAUACCAAGGCACUGAAAUGGGCCAAAUGGCAGGUAAAGAGUGCAAGUUUUUAUUUGUAGUGAUGGUAGGGGAAGGAAGACAAAGCAUCCAGAACACGGAAGAAACUCAGCAACACAGAUGGGAAGCAGUUCCCCACUUUUCUCUAGCUGUUUGAAGCACUCUGACAAAAGCAACGUAAGGGAGAAAGGUUCAUUUUGCUCUUUAUUCAAGGAACAGUUCAUUAUGAUGGAGCAGUGAAGGCACCAGGAUUUUGAAGCAGCAGAUCACAUGGGAUCCACACCAGAGAGCACCAUAAGAAUGUGCUCAGUUGGCCUUCUCUCUUUUAUGUUCAGCCCAGGAUCCCGACCUGGAGAAUGGUGUCACCCACAAUUAAGAAAGAUCUUCACACAUGAAUUAAUAUAAUCAUGAAAAUCAGAAGCUUAUCUCCCAGGAGGUGUUUGUUUGUUUUUUUGCUUGCUUGUUGUUUUUGUCAAGUUGACAGCAUUAACCAUCACAGUAGAGAAAUGGAUGAGAAACUCAGGGAUAUGAAGGAAACUUAUCAUCAGUGUAGAUGAGAGAAACAAAUCAUCAAAAACAAAUACAUACUUGAGCAUAUAAAAAAGAUAGGGGCUGCUACAGUUAUAGUGAGAGAAUUUAAUAUUCACCAAUAGAGAGCUCAUCCAAACUAAGGGGCAGUAAAGAGAUUUCAGAGUUAAAUACUAACAUGCAAUUUUCUCUAAAAUAGAUCAUAUUUUAUAUAAAGAAAAUUGUAACAAACAAAUGUAUCAAUGUAAAUUCUUAUAUUUAAGCAGAAUGUGCUACAGGAAAACUAGAAAUCAACAGGAAGAGAAACUACAGAAAAUAUGCAAAUAUUUGAAUAUUGAAUAGUGCAAUUGUGCUGGUUAGGAUUUUAUUUUAUUUUUCAACUUGACACAAGCCAGAGUCAUCUGGGAAAAUGGAACUUCAAUUGAGAAGAAUGUGUCCAUCAAAUUAGCCUGUGAGGCAAGUUUGUGGAACAGUUGUUUGUGGAAAAAUUUAGGAAUUAACGAAAGAAAGAAUUGGGUCUUAAAACAUAGCAGUUUCAUCAGUCCUUUAGCAACACGGAUUAAAGCAAAUGCGGGAAGACCCAAAUGAGUAAAAGUCGAUUUGAAAAAGUAGCAAGUACAGCAAAUGCAAUGAAAUCCAAAAGAUUGUUAGACAAUAUUUUAUAGCUUAUAUCCCCCCCUCCCCCCCAAAAAAAACCAAAAACUUGGACAUAAUGGCACCCUUUCAGACACAUACAGUCUAUCAAGCUUAAAUAAAGAUGAAAUAGACAGCACAAACAAACCCACACUGAACAAAAUAGUCUCCAAACAAAGAAAAGGUAAGGACCAGAACAGUUACGUUCCAGCCUCAUGCUUCCAGACCUUUCAAAAUGAGCUAAUACCAGAUCUCCAAAAAAUGUUCCAUAGUCUAGAAGGAGUAAUAAUAGCAUGAAGUUAUUCUUUGAAAUCAACAUUGCACUGAUGCUGACUGGGUAAGGACAUGCAUGACAAAAAGAAAACAACCAAUUAAUUUCCCCACUUACAUCUUUUUAAUAAAAGUUCUCAAUAAAAUUCCUACGAACUAAAUUUAUCAACAGCUAAAAAAAACCUCACAAAACAACUAAGCCAAUAUACACAUAAAUCAAUGAAUCUAAUUAUAAAAUGCAGCAACCAAGAUAAAGAACACAUGUUCUGCUCAAUUAAUUCAAACAAGGCUACAGACAUGAUCAUCAUCAUUUUAUAAUAAACCCCUUUUAGGAAUUAAAAAGGAACAUGCUUUAAUCCCAGCAC
Molecule: long non-coding RNA, 2635 nt
Organism: Mus pahari (shrew mouse)
Lineage: Eukaryota; Metazoa; Chordata; Mammalia; Rodentia; Muridae
Exons: 3
Source: RefSeq, a predicted model, not a curated record